UGGGGAAUAUUGCGCAAUGGGCGAAAGCCUGACGCAGCGACGCCGCGUGAGGGAUGAAGGUCUUCGGAUUGUAAACCUCUUUCAGCAGGGACGAAGCGAAAGUGACGGUACCUGCAGAAGCAGCCCCGGCUAACUCUGUGCCAGCAGCCGCGGUAAGACAGCGGGGGCAAGCGUUGUCCGGAGUUACUGGGCGUAAAGAGCUCGUAGGGGGUUCGUUACGUCGGAGGUGAAAAUCUGGGGCUCAACCCC
This 249-nucleotide ribosomal RNA is filed under the name uncultured Actinomycetales bacterium. RNAcentral describes it as "partial 16S ribosomal RNA". It matches the Rfam family "Bacterial small subunit ribosomal RNA", at positions 355 to 616 of the family's 1533-position model. Lineage: Bacteria; Bacillati; Actinomycetota; Actinomycetes; Actinomycetales. The record is from RNAcentral.